This 610-nucleotide ribosomal RNA is filed under the name uncultured bacterium. RNAcentral's name for it is "bacterial SSU rRNA". It matches the Rfam family "Bacterial small subunit ribosomal RNA", at positions 338 to 1416 of the family's 1533-position model. The record is from RNAcentral.
CCUACGGGAGGCAGCAGUGGGGAAUCUUGCGCAAUGGGCGAAAGCCUGACGCAGCAACGCCGCGUGCGGGAAGAAGGCUUUCGGGCUGUAAACCGCUUUCAGCAGGAACGAAAAUGACGGUACCUGCAGAAGAAGGAGCGGCCAACUAUGUGCCAGCAGCCGCGGUGAUACAUAGGCUUCAAGCGUUGUCCGGAUUUAUUGGGCGUAAAGAGUUCGUAGGCGGUCGAGUAAGUCGGGUGUGAAAAUUCUGGGCUCAACCCAGAGACGCCACCCGAUACUGCUUAACUUGAGUUCGAUAGGGGAGUGGGGAAUUCCUAGUGUAGCGGUGAAAUGCGCAGAUAUUAGGAGGAACACCGGUGGCGAAGGCGCCACUCUGGAUCGAUACUGACGCUGAGGAACGAAAGCAUGGGUAGCAAACAGGAUUAGAUACCCUGGUAGUCCAUGCCGUAAACGGUGGGCACUAGGUGUGGGAUUCUAUUAACGAAUUCCGCGCCGUCGCUAACGCAUUAAGUGCCCCGCCUGGGGAGUACGGUCGCGAGACGUAAACUACAANAGUAAGUUAGUACGGCGUUGUAGACGUUGCCGAACGGCGACGACGAGGGAGGUUAGG